RNAcentral lists this transfer RNA (77 nucleotides) under Thiomicrospira sp. ALE5. RNAcentral describes it as "tRNA_Ile_GAT". It matches the Rfam family "tRNA". Rfam says of the family: Transfer RNA (tRNA) molecules are approximately 80 nucleotides in length. Their secondary structure includes four short double-helical elements and three loops (D, anti-codon, and T loops). Further hydrogen bonds mediate the characteristic L-shaped molecular structure. tRNAs have two regions of fundamental functional importance: the anti-codon, which is responsible for specific mRNA codon recognition, and the 3' end, to which the tRNAs corresponding amino acid is attached (by aminoacyl-tRNA synthetases). tRNAs cope with the degeneracy of the genetic code in two manners: having more than one tRNA (with a specific anti-codon) for a particular amino acid; and 'wobble' base-pairing, i.e. permitting non-standard base-pairing at the 3rd anti-codon position. Lineage: Bacteria; Pseudomonadati; Pseudomonadota; Gammaproteobacteria; Thiotrichales; Piscirickettsiaceae. The record is from RNAcentral.
ACGACCGUAGCUCAGUUGGUUAGAGCGCACCCCUGAUAAGGGUGAGGUCGGUGGUUCGAAUCCACUCGGUCGUACCA